This 464-nucleotide ribosomal RNA is filed under the name Vreelandella stevensii. RNAcentral describes it as "partial 16S ribosomal RNA". It matches the Rfam family "Bacterial small subunit ribosomal RNA", at positions 338 to 795 of the family's 1533-position model. Lineage: Bacteria; Pseudomonadati; Pseudomonadota; Gammaproteobacteria; Oceanospirillales; Halomonadaceae. The record is from RNAcentral.
CCUACGGGUGGCAGCAGUGGGGAAUAUUGGACAAUGGGCGAAAGCCUGAUCCAGCCAUGCCGCGUGUGUGAAGAAGGCCUUCGGGUUGUAAAGCACUUUCAGUGGGGAAGAAAGCCUUGGGGCUAAUACCCUCGAGGAAGGACAUCACCCACAGAAGAAGCACCGGCUAACUCCGUGCCAGCAGCCGCGGUAAUACGGAGGGUGCGAGCGUUAAUCGGAAUUACUGGGCGUAAAGCGCGCGUAGGCGGUCUGAUAAGCCGGUUGUGAAAGCCCCGGGCUCAACCUGGGAACGGCAUCCGGAACUGUCAGGCUAGAGUGCAGGAGAGGAAGGUAGAAUUCCCGGUGUAGAGGUGAAAUGCGUAGAGAUCGGGAGGAAUACCAGUGGCGAAGGCGGCCUUCUGGACUGACACUGACGCUGAGGUGCGAAAGCGUGGGUAGCAAACAGGAUUAGAUACCCAGUAGUC